CCUACGGGAGGCAGCAGUGAGGAAUAUUGGUCAAUGGGCGUAAGCCUGAACCAGCCAAGUCGCGUGAGGGAUGAAGGUUCUAUGGAUCGUAAACCUCUUUUAUAAGGGAAUAAAGUGUGGGACGUGUCCUAUUUUGUAUGUACCUUAUUAAUAAGGAUCGGCUAACUCCGUGCCAUCAGCCGCAGUAAUACGGGGGAUCCGAGUGUUAUCCGGAGUUAUUGGGUUUAAAGGGUGCGUAGGCGGCCUUUUAAGUCAUGGGUGAAAGUCUGUGGCUCAACCAUAGAAUUGCCGUGGAAACUGGGGCUUGAGUAUGUUUGAGGCAGGCGGAAUGCGUGGUGUAGCGGUGAAAUGCUUAGAUAUCACGCAGAACCCCGAUUGCGAAGGCAGCCUGUCAAGCCAUGACUGACGCUGAUGCACGAAAGCGUGGGGAUCAAACAGGAUUAGAUACCCCAGUAGUC
This 458-nucleotide ribosomal RNA is filed under the name uncultured bacterium. RNAcentral describes it as "partial 16S ribosomal RNA". It matches the Rfam family "Bacterial small subunit ribosomal RNA", at positions 338 to 795 of the family's 1533-position model. The record is from RNAcentral.